This 749-nucleotide ribosomal RNA is filed under the name uncultured archaeon. RNAcentral's name for it is "bacterial SSU rRNA". It matches the Rfam family "Archaeal small subunit ribosomal RNA", at positions 170 to 922 of the family's 1478-position model. The record is from RNAcentral.
CUGGAAUGGUUCCUGACUAAAAUCUAUAUGGCCUCUGGAUUGGACUGCGGCCGAUCAGGCUGUUGGUGAGGUAAUGGCCCACCAAACCUGUAACCGGUACGGGCUCUGAGAGGAGGAGCCCGGAGAUGGGCACUGAGACAAGGGCCCAGGCCCUAUGGGGCGCAGCAGGCGCGAAACCUCUGCAAUAGGCGAAAGCCUGACAGGGUUACUCUGAGUGACUUUCGCUAAGAAAGUCUUUUGGCACCUCUAAAAAGGGUGCAGAAUAAGGGGUGGGCAAGUCUGGUGUCAGCCGCCGCGGUAAUACCAGCACCCCGAGUGGUCGGGACGAUUAUUGGGCCUAAAGCAUCCGUAGCCGGUUCUGCAAGUCUUCCGUUAAAUCCAGCCGCUCAACGGAUGGGCCGCGGAGGAUACUACAGGACUAGGAGGCGGGAGAGGCAAGCGGUACUCAGUGGGUAGGGGUAAAAUCCUUUGAUCCAUUGAAGACCACCAGUGGCGAAGGCGGCUUGCCAGAACGCGCUCGACGGCGAGGGAUGAAAGCUGGGGGAGCAAACCGGAUUAGAUACCCGGGUAGUCCCAGCUGUAAACGAUGCAGACUCGGUGAUGGGCUAGCCUUGUGCCAGCCCAGUGCCGCAGGGAAGCCGUUAAGUCUGCCGCCUGGGGGGUACGGUCGCGAGACUGAAACUUAAAGGAAUUGGCGGGGGAGCACCACAAGGGGUGAAGCCUGCGGUUCAAUUGGACUCAACGCCGGU